RNAcentral lists this ribosomal RNA (253 nucleotides) under uncultured bacterium. RNAcentral describes it as "partial 16S ribosomal RNA". It matches the Rfam family "Bacterial small subunit ribosomal RNA", at positions 524 to 776 of the family's 1533-position model. The record is from RNAcentral.
UACGAAGGGUGCAAGCGUUAAUCGGAAUUACUGGGCGUAAAGCGUGCGUAGGCGGUUUGUUAAGUCUGUUGUGAAAGCCCCGGGCUCAACCUGGGAAUGGCAAUGGAUACUGGCAGGCUAGAGUGCGGUAGAGGGUAGUGGAAUUCCCGGUGUAGCGGUGAAAUGCGUAGAGAUCGGGAGGAACACCAGUGGCGAAGGCGGCUACCUGGACCAGCACUGACACUGAGGCACGAAAGCGUGGGGAGCAAACAGG